This 415-nucleotide RNase P RNA is filed under the name Haloarcula pellucida. Its description in RNAcentral is "Halomicroarcula pellucida Archaeal RNase P". It matches the Rfam family "Archaeal RNase P". From Rfam's summary of the family: Ribonuclease P (RNase P) is a ubiquitous endoribonuclease, found in archaea, bacteria and eukarya as well as chloroplasts and mitochondria. Its best characterised activity is the generation of mature 5'-ends of tRNAs by cleaving the 5'-leader elements of precursor-tRNAs. Cellular RNase Ps are ribonucleoproteins. Lineage: Archaea; Methanobacteriati; Methanobacteriota; Halobacteria; Halobacteriales; Haloarculaceae. The record is from Rfam by way of RNAcentral. RNAcentral also lists the same sequence under 1 other name.
GGCAGCGGGAGGCCGGCUCCCGUGCCGAGAGGCAUGAGGAAAGUCCCCCCACCUGCUGGACGGGUGACCGGACGCAAGUCCGGGGCGGGAGACCGUCGGCUAUGGAACAGCAACGACACGUCGUCACAGGACCGAUGAGGUGCGCGAAUCCCGAGCGACGGGGCGUGUGCGGCACUCCGUGCCGCGAUUCGAGGCGGUGACACCGCCUCGACCCGGAAGCGAGGGAGAGAUAACCCACCGAGGGCCACCGUGGGGCACCGUCCGGUGUCCGACGCCUGUGACGGACCGAUGGAACGGCGAAUCCUCACCGGUGCAAGGCCGCGUCGACAGGUAGUCCGGUACCGCGCGCGAGCGCUGGACGCGGCCGCUGAGCCGAAUGCCGGCCCGAACAGAAGGGGGCUUACUCCCCGCAGCC